Molecule: ribosomal RNA, 2271 nt
Filed under: Triticum aestivum (bread wheat)
Lineage: Eukaryota; Viridiplantae; Streptophyta; Magnoliopsida; Poales; Poaceae
Description: partial small subunit ribosomal RNA
Source: RNAcentral
AUGCAGAACCCCAACGGCACCAUCCUCCAGCUCUACCACUCCGGCCGUCUCUCUGCCGCCCUCCACGCCUUCCAAGCGCUCCCCUCCUCGCCCGCCCCCGCUCCUCUCUCCGCCGCCACAUACGCCGCCCUCGUCACCGCAUGCUCCCGCCUCCGCUCCCUCUGCCAGGGCCGCCUCGUCCACCACCACUUGAUUGCAUCCCCUGAUGCCGGACUUGCCGGAAAUACUGUCCUCAACAACCACCUUAUCACCAUGUACGGCAGGUGCGCUGCCCCAGACUCUGCCCGCCUGGUGUUCGACGAAAUGCCUGCCAAGAACCCUGUCUCUUGGGCAUCUGUUAUCGCGGCACACACGCAGAACAGACGCUCCACUGAUGCUCUCGUUCUGUUCUCUUCAAUGCUACGGGCGGGGACUGCGCCUGACCAGUUUGCGCUCGGCAGUGCUGUGCGUGCGUGCGCAGAGCUUGGGGACAUCGUUGUCGGGAGGCAGGUGCAUGCACAGGCUAUGAAGUCUGAGACUGGAAGUGGCUUGAUCGUGCAGAACGCGCUUGUCACCAUGUACUCCAAGAGCGGCUUCGUUGGGGAUGGGUUCUCGCUCUUCACGAGGAUGAGGGAGAAAGACCUGAUUUCCUGGGGGUCCAUUAUUGCAGGGUUUGCACAGCAAGGGUGCGAAAUGGAGGCGCUGCAUAUUUUCAGGGAGAUGAUUGCUGAGGGGCUGCAUCAUCCCAAUCAGUUCCAUUUUGGAAGCGUGUUUAGCGCUUGUGGGGUUCUGGGUAGUUUGGAGUAUGGGAAGCAGAUUCAUAGCUUGUCUGUGAAGUAUAAUCUGGACUCUAACUCGUAUGCAGGUUGUUCAUUGAGCGACAUGUAUGCCCGGUGCAAGAAGUUGGAGUCUGCGAGGAAAGUGUUUUAUGGGAUUGAUGCUCCAGAUUUGGUUUCUUGGAAUUCAAUAAUCAAUGCUUGCUCUGUUGAGGGUCUUCUUAGUGAGGCUAUGUUACUGUUCUCUGAUAUGAGAGACUCUGGCCUCAGGCCUGAUGGCAUUACCGUUAGGGGCUUGUUAUGUGCGUGUGUGGGCUGUGAUGCUUUACAGCCUGGCAGAUUGAUCCACUCCUACUUGGUCAAACUGGGUUUGGAUGGGGAUGUUUCAGUAUGCAAUUCUUUACUCAGCAUGUAUGCGCGGUGUAUGGAUUUCUCCUCUGCGAUGGAUGUUUUUCACGAGACAAGAGAUCGUGAUGUUGUCACCUGGAACAGCAUUCUUACUGCAUGUGUACAGCACCAGCAUCUGGAAGUAGUCUUUGAGUUGUUCAACCUUUUGCAGAGGUUGGUGCCGAGUCUGGACGGGAUCAGUUUAAACAAUGUUCUGAGUGCUUCUGCCGAGUUGGGUUACCUUGAAAUGGUGAAACAGGUCCAUGCAUACACCUUCAAAGUAGGUCUGGUGAACGAUACAAUGCUGAGCAAUGGUCUAAUUGAUACCUAUGCUAAAUGUGGAAGUUUAGAUGAUGCUGCGAAGCACUUUGAAAUGAUGGGCACCAACUGUGACGUGUUCUCUUGGAGCAGUUUGAUUGUUGGCUAUGCCCAAUCUGGUUAUGCAAGGAAAGCACUUGAUUUAUUUGCAAGGAUGAGAAACUUGGGGAUCAAGCCAAAUCAUGUAACAUUUGUUGGGGUUCUCACAGCAUGCAGCCGCGUCGGCUUUGUCGAUGAAGGCUGCUAUUACUACAGUAUUAUGGAGCCUGAACAUGGCAUUCUUCCAACAAGAGAGCAUUGUUCAUGUGUCAUUGACUUGCUAUCACGUGCUGGGAGACUAACUGAGGCAGCAAAAUUUGUUGAUCAAAUGCCAUUUGAGCCCGAUAUUGUGAUGUGGAAGACCCUGCUUGCUGCUAGCAAAACACAUAAUGACGUGGAGAUGGGAAAGAGGGCAGCAGAAGGCGUUUUGAAUAUUGAUCCUUCCCAUUCUGCUGCCUAUGUCUUGUUGUGCAACAUAUAUGCUGCUUCUGGUGAUUGGAAUGAGUUUGCAAGAUUGAAGAAGGCAAUGAGAAGCAGUGGUGUUAAGAAAUCACCAGGGAAGAGCUGGGUUAAGCUAAAGGGGGAGCUAAAAGUCUUUAUAGUAGAGGACAGAUCGCAUCCAGAGUCUGAGGAAAUUUACACAAUGCUUGAUAUAGUUGGAAUGGAAAUGAUAAAAGCUGGUUAUGUUCCAAAGCUACCAUGUCAAUAUACUAGUUUUGAUCAUACAAAUAGUGAUUUGUCAGAUGAAGAAAUGACUAUGGAAUAUGGUUGA